AUUAAGAAGGCCUCAUAUUUAGUAUACUGGAUUUGAUAAUAAGAGAGUGCACGUGUCACGUUUUUGUUGGGCAAACCGAGUAACGAAGAAUUUUUUUUUUUUUUUAUGGUCGAUCGUUUUUUUUCAUUCUCUUCCUCUCCCUCUCUCUGUCUCUCUCUCUCUCGAUCGAAGUGGCGAAUUGACCAUGGAAGAAGAUGGAAUCAGAGGAGAUUCGGGUCGGAUGAGAUGCGAAGGAGAUUGAAUCGGCGGAGACUAAUCGGAGGAGAUUGAGAAACACAAGAAGAGUAUGUCGCAAUCACCCUCACCUAAGGACAGCGAGACGCACUAAAGCUUUUCUGAUCAACGUUCAUUUAUGAAUCUGGGGAACUUUUUGGGUGAAGAUUUUGUAGAAUCGUGAUGGGUUUAUCGAAAGGUAGAUUGAAAGCAUGGUUUAAUAAGAAAAUCAUUGAUCCUCUUCCUCCAGGUCUUGUGUAGGUACUGCCUUCGAGUCAUGUGGUUCAGGAAAUGGAAGAAGGGUUUUCUAUGAAUCUUCCAAGAUUCUUGCUCAGAAAAUGACUGUCGCUGUAAGUUUAAGUAACCUUGUUCCUUUGUGUAUAAUGACCCGGACAACUUGGGAUACUGCUGUUUCUUAUGAUCGGAUUCUAAUUUAGGCUCUGAAAUAUCUCAUGCUAUGCACAAGAUGUGUGUGAGCUCGGUUAGCUUUGUAGAACCGAUCCUCCCAUUUCAUAACCAUGCCAAGAUGCUGGUUGUUUAGUGUUAGCGAACUCCUUUUGGUUCAAAGUCUUGAUCCUUUCUUCAUGUAUUUUGAUAUGACUCAAUACGUCUUCUUUGUCUGCUUCAUCAAAGCUUGAUGUCUGAUCCAGAAGUGAGUCUAAUUUUGCUUAACUUUGGAUAAGUGACUAAUUUUGGUUUUGCUGGUUGUAUCAUGUAGAUGGAGAAAAUUGAUCUGACAUUGUUUUGUUUUGGACAA
This is a non-coding RNA of Camelina sativa (false flax), 970 nucleotides long. The record is from RefSeq and is a predicted model, not a curated record. NCBI's taxonomy places the organism in Eukaryota, Viridiplantae, Streptophyta, Magnoliopsida, Brassicales, Brassicaceae.